RNAcentral lists this long non-coding RNA (5419 nucleotides) under Gossypium barbadense (sea-island cotton). RNAcentral describes it as "long non-coding RNA (GBAR_LNC012128)". The stretch from base 1355 to 1434 matches the Rfam family "tRNA". Lineage: Eukaryota; Viridiplantae; Streptophyta; Magnoliopsida; Malvales; Malvaceae. The record is from RNAcentral.
UGGCUGGUCGGAUGAAGCAGAAGACAGAUAAAGAGUGCAAACAGGUGGUGAGUAACCCGGUUGAUUGUAGCAAGGACAAAUGUACUGGAGGGUCUCCACCUUCUAAGCCUAAAUCACCACCACUACCACCGGUCCACUCCCCACCCCCACCAGUGCACUCACCACCCCCACCAGUCUUCUCACCACCACCACCACCAGUCCACUCUCCACCCCCACCCGUUCACUCCCCACCCCCACCAGUGCACUCCCCACCCCCACCAGUCUUCUCACCACCACCACCACCAGUCCACUCCCCACCCCCACCCGUCCACUCCCCACCACCACCAGUCCACUCGCCACCCCCACCCAUCCACUCACCACCACCACCCGUCUACUCACCACCACCACCACCAGUCCACUCCCCACCACCACCACCCGUCUACUCACCACCACCACCCGUCUACUCACCACCACCACCAGUCUACUCCCCACCCCCACCAGUACAAUCUCCACCUCCACGAACUCCAUCUCCUCGUCCUGUUGUGUCUACACCACCACCUACAAAAAAUAUUGUCCUCCCACCAAACAUAGGAUUCGAAUACCAAUCGCCACCUCCACCAAUGUUUCCAGGCUACUAAAUAGUACUACAGCCUUAACAUCUUUGUGUUGUAUAUUCUCACUCUCGGGUAUAAAAGGAAAAAGAAAAGGGCCAUAAAUUACAAUUCAUGUCAUUACCUUUUCUUUUUCACUGUUCUCUUGCAUUUGCAAUUUCUAUUCAAAUUGUAACAUCAAUGUGAAAGCUCUUAUAUUUAUAUAUAAAUCUUAAUUACUACUAACUUUCAUCUUUUCCCUCAUAAUCUUUUCUUAAUAUUGGAAAAACAAAUAUCAGCAUGUUGACUUGGUUUCGGGUUGCAUUAAUUUCAAUCCAAUCAAUUUCAUUUUUGGAUCAUUUUUGUUUUUUUAAGUUGGGUUAUUUUAGGUUUUUCCUUCAAGACUAACACUUAAUUUUGAGUUACUUAUACAUGUUUUUUUAGUUCGAAUCUUUUUAAUUAUUAUUUAUAUGAAGGUAGGUUUGAUUAGUUACUUUUUGCUCCUUAUUCCAAUUUGAUGUCUGGUUAGUUUAGUUACAAUAAAUGAGUUCUUUUUUAGGAAAAUACAAAUUAAAAAAUCUCUAUUCAUGACCUAAUUAAAUAGAAAGGAUAAUAAAUAAAUAAAAUGAUACAAUAAAUACUAAAGAUUUCUUUUGAACCUUUAAAUUGCUAUUUCAAUAAAAAUUAAAUGCUUCCUAACAAAUUUGACAUUUUACAUUGAAUUAACCGCUUCACCUUCAAUCUCGACGACUGACUAAAAAAUGAGUUAUUAUGAUUUUGAGUAAGCCGCUAUGGUGAAAUCGGUAAACACGUUGCUCUUAAGAAGUAGUGCUAGAGCAUCUCGGUUUGAAUCCGAGUGACGACAUAGUAUCUUCUAAAAGAGAUAGAAUAAGUCCCAAUUCAAGUUUUUAAAGAGAGCAAAGUUAAGAGAGAAAUGACACACAAGACUUAUUAACAUAAUUCUAACAAUUUUAUUUUGUAAACCCUUACUAGGGGUGUAUAAAAUUCGGUGGAAAAAGCAACCCAAAUCAACUCAAUUCGAUUCUUUUGUUCGAUUUAAUUGAAUUCGAAUAUUUACCUCAAACUCCUAAACUUUUUUACUUUCCCUAAAAAUUAUUACUUUUCCUCAAAAAUUUUACUCCUCCCUGUCCCACCCCCUUCUACGCCAAACUCAUUCUUCUCCUCCCAAAAUUUACUCUCCUAAACCCCAAAAUUUGCACUUUUCACCAUUUAUCCUCAAAUAAAAAAUUAAAAUCAUCCAAAAAAAUUCUCAAACCUAAAUAGUAAUAAUUUUAUUUAUAUCUACUAUUUAUGUUAUCAAAUUAAAUUUGACAUAUUUUCCAUGAAAUUGUCUAAUAUUGAUGAUCUCCAUGAGUUGCAAUUACAUGUUUCACUUGAGCAUUGACUUAUAAUGUCAACAAAAACAAAUCCAAAUCCAAAUAUGACACUUAAGGCAUUCAAAUUAUAUAUAAUUAUGUAACAUUAUAAUGAAAAAAGUUAAUAAUAUUAACUAUUUAAUCUAACUAAUGACAUUUUACAAUUAUAAACAUCUAAUUAUAUUAGAAAUUAAAUCUCAAAUAAAUCAUAUACCCAAAUUUCCUUCCUUCUAUAUAAUAAAGGUAUUCAUCUUAACUAGUGCAAUCAAUGUUGGUGUAAUUAAUCUUCCAAAAAUAGUAUAAUUAAUCACAUAUUACUAAAAUUUAACAAUUAUGAUGAAGAUGAAAUGAAUGAAACAUUUACUAUGACAGAUUUUGGGUUGAACACGUGGCUGAGGGAAUCCAAAACAUCGCUAUAAAUGGUAAGUUUCCCAUUUAAUAAAAUUGUUUUCCAGUUUUUUAUAUUCAAAAGGUCAAAUUCGGAUUUUGUCCCUCUACUAUACUAGAAUUAAAAAUUAAGUCUGUUUUAUUUUAAUUUAGCAUAAUUUAACCCUCUUACUUCAGUAUUAAUUAAUCUAAAAUGUUAACACCGUUAACUAUUUUAAUUAAAAUACUUAUAUAGUUUUUUUUUAAAUCAGUCUUAAGCAUUUAGUUAAUACGUAAUUUUUUACUAAAUCUUUUUGAUUAAUUUUUUUUAGAAAAAGCACAAUUAAAAAAGAAUAAUUAACCAUGCUAAAAAAUUGAUAUAAAAAUAGAAUGACCAAAUUAUAUUGAAUUGGAGUAUAAAAACUAAAUCAUGAAUUUUAGAUAUAAUAGAAGGACCAAAAUAUAAUUUGACCUAUUAUAAAAUAAAGAUAGAAAAUACAAGUUAAAAUUGUUAAAAUAGUAUCUAUACAUAAGCCUCACAUUUCGCUUCGCCUCUGAAGUUACCAAACCUCUAAUUAUAUGUGAAACCAGAAAGCUUCUCAAGAACUAAAGCAAGAACCCAACAUCCCAUUCGUCCCCUAUAUAAUCUCAUUUCCAUCUCCAUCAACAUUGCCUAACCAGCCUCAGGCCUUCCAAGGUGAACAAGAAAAAUGGCAAGUCGUUUAAGUUUUCAGGCCUUCGGCUGCUUUCAUUUGUUCUUUUGGAUUUUCUUUCGUUCAUUCACACCCACUUUCACAGUCGAAGCGUCUUCAAUCGCUGAUCGUCAGCUGUUGUCACUCCCAAAAAAUGGUAAACUCCCCGACGGGUAUGAAUAUACGGUGAAAACAAAAGAGACAUUUGAGAAUGAAAGGCUUAGGAGGGCUUUUAUCGCUCUUCAAGCAUGGAAGAAGGCUAUGUACUCUGACCCGAUGAACAUCACGAGCAACUGGUUCGGGCCUAACGUGUGUGGUUACAAAGGUGUGUAUUGUGCUCAGGCAAUCGAUGAUCCCAAAUUGAAAGUUGUGGCUGGUAUUGAUCUUAAUCAUGCUGACAUCGCCGGUUACCUUCCAGUGGAAUUAGGGUUGAUGAUCGAUGUUGCAUUGAUCCAUUUAAACUCCAACAGGUUUUGUGGGAUCGUCCCUGAGAGCUUAUCUGAGCUUACACUUAUGCAUGAAUUUGAUGUUAGCAACAAUUGGUUCGUGGGGGAUUUCCCCAAAGUUGUACUGUCAUGGCGGAGCGUCAAGUAUAUUGAUCUCCGAUUCAAUAAUUUUGAAGGUUGUUUACCACCUGAGCUCUUCGAAAAGGAUCUAGAUGCAUUGUUUUUGAACGAUAAUCGCUUCACUUGCAACAUUCCUGAAACAAUCGGCAAAUCGACUGUCUCCGUUGUGACAUUCGCUAACAACAAGUUCGAAGGAUGUAUACCACGUAGCAUUGGCAAGAUGUCGAACUUGGACGAGAUCAUUUUCUCAAACAAUAACCUCGGUGGUUGUUUCCCUCAAGAAAUUGGUUUGCUUCGCAAUGUUACUAUUCUUGAUGUUAGCAAGAACUCGUUCGUAGGUAGCUUGCCGACAAACUUUUCGGGCUUCGAGAAGGUUGAUGUUUUGGAUAUUUCCGGGAACAAGUUGACGGGGAGUGUUCCAGAGGAUAUUUGCAAGUUACCGAGCUUGUCUAGUUUCAAGUUUUCUUACAACUACUUCAGUGAGGAGCAUAUGGCUUGUAUAAAGCCUGAAAGGAAGAACAUUGUGGUGGAAGAUGCUGGUAAUUGUGUGGCUGGUCGGAUAAAGCAGAAGACAGAUAAAGAGUGCAAACAAGUGGUGAGUAACCCGGUUGAUUGUAGCAAGGACAAAUGUACUAGAGGGUCUCCACCUAAGCAAAACACACCUACGCCACAUCGUGUAUCUCCAACUGUUCCUACCAAGCCACCACCAGUACCUGAUAAAAUUGAACUAUCUCCAAAGGUUCCUAUUCGCCCACCAAAACCACCUCCAGCACCGGUUCAAUCUCUACCUCCACCAGUCCCUUCCUUACCACCACCCAUCCAAUCUCCACCACCACCAAUGCACUCACCACCACCACCCGUCCAUUCACCACCACCACCAUCGGUUCCUUCACCCCCACCACCAGUAAAAUCCCCACCCCCACCGGUACCUUCACCACCACCACCAGUUCCUUCACCCCCACCGCCAGUAAAAUCUCCACCUCCACCGGUGCCCUCACCACCACCACCACCAGUUCCUUCACCCCCACCCCCAGUAAAAUCCCCACCUCCACCGGUGCCCUCACCACCACCACCAGUUCCUUCACCCCCACCCCCAAUAAAAUCCCCACCUCCACCGGUGCCCUCACCACCACCACCAGUUCUUUCACCCCCACCACCAGUAAAAUCCCUACCUCCACCGGUGCCCUCACCACCCCCACCUGUGCCAUCUCCACCCCCACCCGUCCACUCCCCACCCCCACCUGUGCCCUCUCCACCCCCACCCGUCCAUUCCCCACCCCCACCCGUCCGUUCCCCACCCCCACCUAUCCUCUCUCCACCCCCACCGGUGCGCUCACCACCCCCACCCGUCCUUUCUCCACCCCCACCAGUGCGCUCACCACCCCCACCCAUCCACUCCCCACCCCCACCAGUACAUUCACCACCACCACCCGUCUACUCACCACCUCCACCCGUCUACUCUCCACCACCACCAGUAAAAUCUUUACCUCCACCAACUCUAUCUCCUCCUCCUGUUUUAUCUAAACCACCACCUACAAAAGAUAUUGUCCUCCCACCAAACUUAGGAUUCCAAUACCAAUCGCCACCUCCACCAAUGUUUCCAGGCUAUUAAAUAGUAUUAUAGCUUUGACAUCUUUAUUUUGUAUGUUCUCCAUCUUGGGUAUAAAAAAUUAACAAAGAAAAGUUCAUAAAUAACAAUUGAGGGAGUUACCUUUUCUUUUUUUAAGUUUCCUCUUGUAACAUGAUUGCCAAAGCUCUUAUCUUUAUCUAUGAAUCUCAAUUAUUAGUAGCUUUCAUCUAUUCCCUUCUCCUCUUUUGUUAACAUUAGGAAAAUAAAUAUUCGAAUAAUG